GAGAGGGGGUGGCACAAGGCAGUGAGAUCACACUAGCAGCUGGGACUCAGGGUGGGAAGAUGCCUGGGAAGUCAGAAGGCAGUUAAGACCUCCACAACCUACACAUUUGCAGACACUAGUUUAAGCUACUGACUCCUUUAGUCUUGAACUCUCCUAAAGGUGGGGGAUCUUAACUGCAUUUGCAAUUACCAGAAAAGGUAAAUAAAUGGUAAACCGCUGAAUCCACUGGCAAUCCAAAUUGCGAGAUUUAAAGCUGGGCUGGGAAUUUGAGAAAAAUAGAGUUGGUAAAUUAGCUACUUGGUACAACUUCUACAGAUGUUUUUUUGUGAGCUCUGAGUUUCUGGAAAAGCUAAAGUUCCCUGCAGUCUCCACCUACUUCCAAAGCAGUCACCAUGGCUCGCUGUCAGCCAAGUUUCCUGCCAACAGUCCCUGUGUGGGGGAAGGAAAGAAUCAAAGAAGGACAACUGGACAAAGUAAUCUACAGACAGCUUACAACAGUGCUGCACACGAUUAAUCUGACUUCACAGUGAGACGCUGAGAAAGGUGAAGUAAGUGGACUGAGAGCCACAGCUCCCAAGGGCAGUGCUUGGAUAGGAACUCAGAUCUUUACCUUCAAAGAAAGCUACAGGACUCAGCAAACAUGCUUAGAUAUCUGCUUCAGUGUGAAACGUAUAAUGAAAGAAGACUUCAUAAGCAGCUGUUUCUUAAGAAGCUUGUGUUAUACAAAUAUGACACAGUUAAUGAACAGAACUAGAGAGCAAUCUGCUACAUCUGUCUUCAAAGGACAAGGAAGAUAGCAAUCAAUACUGUAUUUACGACGGCAUUUUUCACCUGAAAAGUUUCCACUUAUCUACCGCUUCUGUCUAAGAAAGACAGGCUUUUUUUUUACUUAAAAUUUCUCCCUUGCUGCUUAC
This 914-nucleotide long non-coding RNA is filed under the name Homo sapiens (human). Its description in RNAcentral is "HSALNT0310726". Lineage: Eukaryota; Metazoa; Chordata; Mammalia; Primates; Hominidae. The record is from RNAcentral.